UUCAUUACUUACUGUGUGUGCAUGUGCACACACGUGUGGUGGAAUGUGUGCGUGUGUGUGUGUGGGAAGGUGGAAGUGGGAGCCGAGGAUGGAAUUACCAUUUACUGAGCAUCUAUUAUGAGCCUGGUAUGGUGCUAAGCAUUUUCCUUGUGCUACUCUAUUCAAUCCUCUUCAAUCCUCAGGGAUAUUGGCAUACUUUCUGAAAAGUUUUUAUGAGGAUGCACAGAUUAGUAAGACCUACAAGGUCAGCGGGAGUUUACGUGUAGGCCGAGAGAGACAACAAUACAAUCAACGUUCAGGUGUAACCAGGCAGAAGGGCAAAGGGAUAGUUAUGGCAGUGGGGGAAGCAGGCUGAGGGCACUUGAGAUAGGGUGGAACAUCUGCUCAGAUCAAGGUUUUUAGACACGUGUUUUUUGAGGAGGGAACCGGGGACUUCUUUACUUCAAAGUCUUCUGGUUACUAACUUUUUCCUUAAGCAGGAAAAGGCCCCAGGGAGACAGUCUCUCUAACAAGCAUGUCACCAGGGACCAUCAGCCACAGUCCCUAUCGCUUAGGCACAAGGCCCCAAGACUGCAAGUUGCCUCCAGGGCUAAGGUAUCUCCAAGGCCGACCUUCCACAGGGCUUACUGCCAUUCACUCAACACCGAUCUUUUCUGCUAAUGAACAAGCUGUCUCCAUGGACCUUUUUAUUUAAAACAUCACUCAAAGCUUCUAAAAUCAGUGUUAGAGCUGAAAAGGAACUCUGAAGACAACUCACCCAACCUCACCCUGACUGAACACACAGAGGUCCCGGGAGGUCCCAAGGAUGGAUAGUACUGUGAAUCACUUGCAAAGUCAGGACCAAGGACCAAUCCUCCAUACCAGGGGGCCAGGGAAACUAGGUUUAUUAAGGGCGUAACAGGUGCCAGAUACUUGACAUUUACUCUCAUUCAAUCCCAAGGCAGCAGUGGCCCCAUUUCAUAGAUGAUGAAACAGAUUCAGAAGUUAAGUAACUUGCCAAGUGGCCAAGUAUGUGACAAGGGCAAGAAUGAAACCAGUCCUGUUUAGCAACAACAUCACGCCCUCUUUACUGAAUCUUGAUGUCAAAAACGUCCAGACUUCAGUGCUCCUCAACCAAUCUUAAUCCAUCCCAUUUCACAUCUCCAUCAACCCAGUAUUCAAUUCAAAACACACGAGACCUAAGCCAUCUAACACAGACGGUGUCGGUUUUUGAGAAGCAUAUUGCUCAGGCUGCAGGGACAUUUCAUGUUUAAAUGUUUUUAUUUAAAAAAAAAAUUAAAGACCUUCAUGGCACAACUUC
Molecule: long non-coding RNA, 1300 nt
Organism: Neofelis nebulosa (Clouded leopard)
Lineage: Eukaryota; Metazoa; Chordata; Mammalia; Carnivora; Felidae
Exons: 2
Source: RefSeq, a predicted model, not a curated record